GAUGAACGCUGGCGGCGUGCCUAAUACAUGCAAGUCGAGCGAACAGACGAGGAGCUUGCUCCUCUGACGUUAGCGGCGGACGGGUGAGUAGCACGUGGAUAACCUACCUAUAAGACUGGGAUAACUUCGGGAAACCGGAGCUAAUACCGGAUAAUAUAUUGAACCGCAUGGUUCAAUAGUGAAAGACGGUUUUGCUGUCACUUAUAGAUGGAUCCGCGCCGCAUUAGCUAGUUGGUAAGGUAACGGCUUACCAAGGCAACGAUGCGUAGCCGACCUGAGAGGGUGAUCGGCCACACUGGAACUGAGACACGGUCCAGACUCCUACGGGAGGCAGCAGUAGGGAAUCUUCGGCAAUGGGCGAAAGCCUGACGGAGCAACGCCGCGUGAGUGAUGAAGGUCUUCGGAUCGUAAAGCUCUGUUAUUAGGGAAGAACAACUGUGUAAGUAACUAUGCACGUCUUGACGGUACCUAAUGAGAAAGCCACGGCUAACUACGUG
RNAcentral lists this ribosomal RNA (497 nucleotides) under uncultured bacterium. RNAcentral describes it as "partial 16S ribosomal RNA". It matches the Rfam family "Bacterial small subunit ribosomal RNA", at positions 28 to 507 of the family's 1533-position model. The record is from RNAcentral.